RNAcentral lists this ribosomal RNA (253 nucleotides) under uncultured bacterium. RNAcentral's name for it is "partial 16S ribosomal RNA". It matches the Rfam family "Bacterial small subunit ribosomal RNA", at positions 524 to 776 of the family's 1533-position model. The record is from RNAcentral.
GACGUGGGGGGCCAGCGUUGUUCGGAAUUACUGGGGGUAAAGGGUUCGUAGGCGGUGUGGCAAGUCGGGAGUGAAAUCUCUGGGCUCAACCCAGAGGCUGCUUCCGAAACUGCUGUGCUUGAGUGUGGGAGAGGCGCGUGGAAUUGCAGGUGUAGCGGUGAAAUGCGUAGAUAUCUGCAGGAACACCCGUGGCGAAAGCGGCGCGCUGGACCACAACUUACUCUGAGGAACGAAAGCUAGGGGAGCAAACAGG